GAUGAACGCUGGCGGCGUGCCUAAUACAUGCCAGUCGAGCGAACAGACGAGGAGCUUGCUCCUCUGACGUUAGCGGCGGACGGGUGAGUAACACGUGGAUAACCUACCUAUAAGACUGGGAUAACUUCGGGAAACCGGCGCUAAUACCGGAUAAUAUAUUGAACCGCAUGGUUCAAUAGUGAAAGACGGUUUUGCUGUCACUUAUAGAUGGAUCCGCGCCGCAUUAGCUAGUUGGUAAGGUAACGGCUUACCAAGGCAACGAUGCGUAGCCGACCUGAGAGGGUGAUCGGCCACACUGGAACUGAGACACGGUCCAGACUCCUACGGGAGGCAGCAGUAGGGAAUCUUCCGCAAUGGGCGAAAGCUUGACGGAGCAACGCCGCGUGAGUGAUGAAGGUCUUCGGAUCGUAAAACUCUGUUAUUAGGGAAGAACAAAUGUGUAAGUAACUAUGCACGUCUUGACGGUACCUAAUCAGAAAGCCACGGCUAACUACGUG
RNAcentral lists this ribosomal RNA (497 nucleotides) under uncultured bacterium. RNAcentral's name for it is "partial 16S ribosomal RNA". It matches the Rfam family "Bacterial small subunit ribosomal RNA", at positions 28 to 507 of the family's 1533-position model. The record is from RNAcentral.